This is an RNA transcript of Brienomyrus brachyistius, 4045 nucleotides long. It is a transcript of the gene named cugbp, Elav-like family member 3a, with no coding region annotated. The record is from RefSeq and is a predicted model, not a curated record. The transcript is spliced from 14 exons. Lineage: Eukaryota; Metazoa; Chordata; Actinopteri; Osteoglossiformes; Mormyridae.
AAGGGAGAGGAGAGGAUAGAUAGAGAGAGGGAGACACCGGCAAACGACGUCAAAAGCGGCGAGGAGAAAAAGGGGGAUAACACGGGAGGAAAACGAUAACAAAAAACAGUUUCGGUUAUUACAAUGUUAUUUAAAGUUUAUUGGUAAAUAUAAGGGGCGUGAUUGUCGACAAGAAGAACAAAAGACAGUAAUAAUAACACUAAGCAAUAAUAAGGACAAUAACCGCAAGUUAAGCAUUAAGAAAUUGUAUUGGUUUAGAAGUAACGGCGCCGAGAAGGAGGGUAAAGGGAGGUGACGGAGAUUUCAGAGUGAAAAGGACGGUCUGAGAAAAAAGAGUGACACGCGCAGACAUCUGUGAAGAAGGGAGAGAGACGGAGGCACGGAUUUGUUAUCAGUAGGCUGGUGAUCACUUGGCAGCGCAGAAAUCCUAACGGGAACUCUAAAGGACCGGAGCUAGAACUGCAAAUCAAGGAAAGGAUCACAAAAAAGGAAGGAAUUAAAAUAAACCCAGAAUAAAGUCAAGGAAGAAGAAAAGGAGAGAAACAUAAGAGAAAGCCAAACAAACAGAUAAGGACAAAGAAACUAAUAUAUAUAGAAAAUAUUACAUAUCUGAUUUAAUAGCGGUGUCUGAAAUUCUGAAUUUAUUUCAAAUUUUAUUUUCAUACUCGUUCGAACUUGCAUAUAGUCUGUACGUAUGCGUUUAGCUGUAACGUUAACGUAGCCGGACAAAGAGAAGAGACACAUUGACAUAAAGGCACCCUAUACGUCCAGCUGGUUAAACAAAGGAAACGUACAGAAAGACAGUUACACUUGAUUUACUAUAAGAUCUCACAUUUGAACAGGGGCUCCGAAGACAGUAUUAUUAAUAGAAGUCCCCGAGUCUCCCUCUCGCUCCGCUCGCUCUUCAAGUGUCGGUCGCUCUCCCGCACCGUCUCAAUGAAGGAGCCCGACGCGAUCAAGCUGUUCAUCGGGCAGAUUCCUCGCAAUCUGGAGGAAAAGGACCUGAAGCCCAUUUUUGAACAGUUCGGCAAGAUCUACGAACUUACGGUGAUAAAGGACAAAUAUACCGGCAUGCACAAAGGAUGUGCCUUCCUGACGUACUGCGCACGGGAGUCAGCCCUGAAGGCCCAGAGUGCCCUGCACGAGCAGAAGACUCUCCCGGGAAUGAACCGGCCAAUCCAGGUGAAGCCUGCGGACAGCGAAGGCAGAGGAGAAGACAGGAAGCUCUUUGUGGGCAUGUUGGGGAAGCAGCAGUCGGACGAGGAUGUGAGGAAGAUGUUUGAGCCAUUCGGGAGCAUCGAGGAGUGUACAGUGCUCAGGGGACCCGACGGCACCAGCAAGGGAUGCGCCUUCGUCAAGUUCCAAGGCCAUGCGGAAGCCCAGGCUGCCAUUAACACCCUUCACGGCAGUCGCACACUGCCGGGUGCCUCCUCCAGCCUGGUGGUGAAGUUUGCUGACACAGAGAAGGAGCGGGGCCUGCGCCGAAUGCAGCAGGUGGCCUCCCAGCUGGGCAUCUUCAGCCCCAUGACACUGAACUUCGGGGCCUACAAUGCCUACACGCAGGCGCUGGUCCAGCAACAGGCUCUGGUUGCGCAGUCGGCAUAUUUGUCGCCCGUGGCGACAGUUGCCGCGGUGCAGAUGCAGCAGAUGGCCGCCCUCAAUGCCAAUGGCAUCAUCGCCACGCCCAUCACGCCCAUAACGCCUAUCACGCCCUCUUCAGGUACAAAUACCCCCCCUACCAUCGCAGCCACACCAGUGCCAGCCUUACCUCCACCAAUUGGAGUCAACGGCUACAGCCAAGUACCUGCUCCAGCAAAUGGACAGCCAGCAUCUGAAACUCUGUACACCAAUGGUGUCCAUCCUUACCAAGCUCAGAGUCCAGCUGCAGCCUUGGAUCCACUGCAGCAAGCUUACGCAGGAAUGCAACACUACACAGUCUGUCCCCACCAUACAGCAGCCUACCCUGCUGCCUAUGGAUUGGUUGGCCAGCCGUUCCCACAGCAGCCUGCCCUGGUUGCCCAGCAACAUCAACAACCCCAGCAACAGCAGCAGAGAGAAGGCCCAGAGGGAUGUAACAUCUUCAUCUACCAUCUGCCCCAAGAGUUCACUGACUCGGAGAUGCUGCAGAUGUUUCUGCCCUUCGGCAACGUGAUCUCUGCCAAGGUCUUCGUUGACCGCGCCACCAACCAGAGCAAAUGCUUCGGCUUUGUGAGCUUUGACAACCCGGCCAGUGCCCAGACGGCCAUCCAGGCCAUGAACGGCUUCCAGAUCGGCAUGAAGCGGCUGAAGGUCCAGCUGAAGAGGCCCAAGGAUGCCAACCGGCCGUACUGAGAUGCCAGUCGAAGGAGAGAGGUGAGGACGGCCUGGGUGGGCGAGGGAAGAUGAACAGGAGAGGAAAGAUAGCAGGUGAGGAAAGGCAAGCAGGAGAGAAGAAGAUGGCAGGCAAAGAAAGAUGAGCAGGAAAGAGGAAGACGGCAGGUGAGGGAAGAUGGUAGGAAAGAGGAAGACGGCAAGAGAGAGGAAGACGAAGGCGAGGGAAUAGGGCAGGACAGAGGAAGAUGGAAGGCGAGGAAAGAUGGAAGGCAAAGGAAGAUGGCAGGAGAGAGGAAGACUGUAAGUGAAGGAAGAUGGCAGGCGAGGGAAGACCAACAGGAGAGAGGAAGAUGAGUGACAGUCUUUCAAAUUAGCUGAAGUGCAGGGUACUACUGUUAGCUCAUUCUGCCAAAGAUGGCACUCUGGAAGCCGCCUUACAGCUUUUACAGCAGCACUCCAAAGGGUUCAAACGUUGAAUGUUCAUUGAUUUUUAAUGCUGUGAUUUUUAGCUAGAUUUAUCUAGACAACUAGACCUUAAAAACGUUAAAGAUGUUGUUCUCCUACUUUAAUUUACUUUGCUUUUAUUUAUUUAUUGUGCUGUUUUAAUUUUUUCCUGAAAACAACACACCACACUCAAGAUCCUCCUGUCCAAUCAUAAAUCGUGGAGACCACGUCGCUAUGGCUAUGGUUACCUAGCAACCGAUAAAGCCCCGUCCCCCUUCCUCUCAGGUGGUUGUAACGUUUCCGUAGACUCCUGUAACAGAAAUGCAAGCGGAAUGCACUCUCAGCGCCUCCUCUGCGUCUUCGUCCGUUAGACAGCCAGGCAACCCGACUACACAGCUAUGUGAAAAUAGCCGAUGACUCAGUACAAACAUAUUUACUCGUGUGUAUGGACCGAAGACCCGGUGCAUAUGCAGCCAUGCACACACGCACAUGUACACGCACACUCACCCGGAACACUCGUCGAUCACCUUGGCCGUACCGACGAACCCAGUUUGAUAAGGAGCAUUUGACAAUGGUGUACAGCUCGUGAAAGAGGGGAGGCAGGAAAAACACAGACGAAGAUGAUGGUGAUGAGUACGGACGGAAAAUGGAACGACUGAAUAUAUCACUUCUUUUAGUCUACCUUAUGUUGUUAAGUGAUAGCUCCUGUUUCUUAAAAAGGCAACUGGAAAAAUAAUUUACACAAAAAGUGUAGGUUAGUGUGACUAAGGGAAAAAACCUUAUACUUGUAAAUAAUUUAGUUUAAGGAGAUUAAAGUUUAAAAACCCAUAAAAAGUGAAAAAAUACAUUAAAAUAAAAAAAACAAUCAGAUUAUUAUUAUUAUUAUUAUUGUUAUUAUUAUUAUUAUUGCAUUUACAAAUGAGAAAGGACUGAAAACUGAAAAGAUUUAAAAUCUCGAUUUAGUUUUUGUUGAUAUAUGGGUGGGAGGGCUGGAAAUUAAAUUAGGGGGUAAGUUUUAAUAUUUUAAGUAUUUUUAAUUUAUUAAUCAAUCUGUUAAUUCCUUUUUGAUGGAUAGGAGGAAGGCUAAAGAAAAGGAAUUAGAGGACUUUUUGAUUUUAGGAUUUUUUAGAGAAAUGAUUUUUUUUGUGAGUCUGUAUGUCAGACUUUGUGAUUGCAUAAUUGUAAUUAUGAAUUAAUAAUCACAAUGAUAAUUUAUUUCUUAUUUAUUGAUUCUCAUUUUGAUCUCUCUUUUUAAGUUAAAAUAAAAAAACACAUGACAAAACUUGAA